AGGCCUUAAACUUAUGAGUAGGGAAAAUAACGAUUCAGGGUGAUGCCCAAAUCUUCACUGCUAAUGUGAGACGAACUAUUGAGCAAGUAAAAGUUCCCCCUAAGGUGAUCCACCUACUCUGCAGAAUGCCUGGGAACCGUGAUCUGCCUG
RNAcentral lists this small nuclear RNA (150 nucleotides) under Carlito syrichta (Philippine tarsier). Its description in RNAcentral is "U12 minor spliceosomal RNA (ENSTSYG00000029073.1)". It matches the Rfam family "U12 minor spliceosomal RNA". Rfam says of the family: Although the U12 sequence is very divergent from that of U2, the two are functionally analogous. The record is from Rfam by way of RNAcentral. Lineage: Eukaryota; Metazoa; Chordata; Mammalia; Primates; Tarsiidae.